AACGAACGCUGGCGGCAUGCCUAACACAUGCAAGUCGAACGAGCCCUUCGGGUCUAGUGGCGCACGGGUGCGUAACGCGUGGGAACCUGCCCUUAGGUUCGGAAUAACUCCCCGAAAGGGGUGCUAAUACCGGAUAAUGUCUUCGGCCCAAAGAUUUAUCGCCUUUGGAUGGGCCCGCGUUGGAUUAGCUAGUUGGUAGGGUAAAAGCCUACCAAGGCGACGAUCCAUAGCUGGUCUGAGAGGAUGAUCAGCCACACUGGGACUGAGACACGGCCCAGACUCCUACGGGAGGCAGCAGUGGGGAAUAGUGGACAAUGGGCGGAAGCCUGAUGCAGCAAUGCCGCGUGAGUUAUGAAGGCCUUAGGGUUGUAAAGCUCUUUUACCCGGGAUGAUAAUGACAGUACCGGGAGAAUAAGCUCCGGCUAACUCCGUG
RNAcentral lists this ribosomal RNA (433 nucleotides) under uncultured bacterium. Its description in RNAcentral is "partial 16S ribosomal RNA". It matches the Rfam family "Bacterial small subunit ribosomal RNA", at positions 29 to 507 of the family's 1533-position model. The record is from RNAcentral.